GUGUUGUGAAAUGUUGGGUUAAGUCCCGCAACGAGCGCAACCCUUAUCCUUUGUUGCCAGCGGUCCGGCCGGGAACUCAAAGGAGACUGCCAGUGAUAAACUGGAGGAAGGUGGGGAUGACGUCAAGUCAUCAUGGCCCUUACGACCAGGGCUACACACGUGCUACAAUGGCGCAUACAAAGAGAAGCGACCUCGCGAGAGCAAGCGGACCUCAUAAAGUGCGUCGUAGUCCGGAUUGGAGUCUGCAACUCGACUCCAUGAAGUCGGAAUCGCUAGUAAUCGUGGAUCAGAAUGCCACGGUGAAUACGUUCCCGGGCCUUGUACACACCGCCCGUCACACCAUGGGAGUGGGUUGCAAAAGAAGUAGGUAGCUUAACCUUCGGGAGGGCGCUUACCACUUUGUGAUUCAUGACUGGGGUGAAGUCGUAACAAGGUAACCGUAGGGGAACCUGCGGUUGGAUCACCUCCUUACCUUAAAGAAGC
Molecule: ribosomal RNA, 483 nt
Filed under: Escherichia coli
Lineage: Bacteria; Pseudomonadati; Pseudomonadota; Gammaproteobacteria; Enterobacterales; Enterobacteriaceae
Also listed under: 1 other name
Description: bacterial SSU rRNA
Rfam family: Bacterial small subunit ribosomal RNA
Source: RNAcentral